UAGGAUUUGUCACAGCCUCGGAUCUUGCAGUAGUAGGGCUUGUCGCUGGUGUGGACGUGGGAAUGUUUCUUUCGGUCACUGCUGUUGGCAAACUUCCUGUCACAGCCAUCAAAUUCACAUUUGAAAGGCUUUUCUCCUGCAAUAAAACAUAGGAAAGGUUAACAAGUGCUUUUCAGAGACCUCUCACCUGAGAGAGAAAUCUUAGAGCAGACAUGAGGAUGCAUCUUCCCAUCCUCCUGAAGACCAACUCCCAGUCUAACUCCUAAUUCCCAUGUUCCAGGAUGCAACAGGGAAGGGAUGCUGCGGGGAUGGGCCUGGUGUCCCCUGGUCUGGAGGCUCUCCUUGGACCUGGGCUUGCGAGAGGCUGGAUGUCAACCCCGAAGUACCAUAGGGGUCGAGAUUUCCCCUUCUUUUACAUUACACUUCUUUAAACCUCGGACAAAGAUCUUUUGUUCUAGGUGAGUUUUACGGGGGAGGGGGGUCCCCCACCACACAUGUGGUCCUUCAUGGGUCAGGGGUCGCCCAGCCCAGGAGUGGCUGAGAGGCUGAAUCAAAGGUGACCUGCAACUUAAUAUCCUGUUGAUGAUCUUGUUGAAUUUAUGAGUCUGUGAUACAGAGGAUAGUGCUGAAAUCCUGUGAAAUCCUUUUUUUUUUUUUUUU
This is a long non-coding RNA of Orcinus orca (killer whale), 660 nucleotides long. RefSeq lists it as uncharacterized. The record is from RefSeq and is a predicted model, not a curated record. The transcript is spliced from 2 exons. NCBI's taxonomy places the organism in Eukaryota, Metazoa, Chordata, Mammalia, Artiodactyla, Delphinidae.